UAGGGUGCUUCGGGAAUAGGUGGCCUUGAGCCAUCAAGGCCGAAAAGGGAAGUCCGGUGCAAGUCCGGCGCGGUCCCGCCACUGUGAGGGGGAUCUGCCUUGCACGGUGCCACUGUCCAGUGGAAGAAACUGGAUGGGAAGGCGUAAGGUGGAGGUGAACCCGAGCCAGGAGACCUGCCUAUUCCUGCCCCGGCCG
This 196-nucleotide non-coding RNA is filed under the name Thermoanaerobacterales bacterium. The record is from RNAcentral. Lineage: Bacteria; Bacillati; Bacillota; Clostridia; Thermoanaerobacterales.